Molecule: ribosomal RNA, 255 nt
Filed under: uncultured bacterium
Lineage: Bacteria
Description: partial 16S ribosomal RNA
Rfam family: Bacterial small subunit ribosomal RNA
Source: RNAcentral
UACGUAGGGUGCGAGCGUUGUCCGGAAUUAUUGGGCGUAAAGGGCUCGUAGGCGGUUUGUCGCGUCGGGAGUGAAAUCCACUGGCUUAACUGGUGGGCUUGCUUUCGAUACGGGCAGACUGGAGGUAUGCAGGGGGAGAACGGAAUUCCUGGUGUAGCGGUGAAAUGCGCAGAUAUCAGGAGGAACACCGGUGGCGAAGGCGGGUCUCUGGGCCGAUACUGACGCUGAGGAGCGAAAGCGUGGGGAGCGAACAGG